This 460-nucleotide ribosomal RNA is filed under the name uncultured bacterium. RNAcentral's name for it is "partial 16S ribosomal RNA". It matches the Rfam family "Bacterial small subunit ribosomal RNA", at positions 338 to 795 of the family's 1533-position model. The record is from RNAcentral.
CCUACGGGAGGCAGCAGUGAGGAAUAUUGGUCAAUGGACGAGAGUCUGAACCAGCCAAGUAGCGUGAAGGAUGACUGCCCUAUGGGUUGUAAACUUCUUUUAUAUGGGAAUAAAAUGUUCCACGUGUGGGAUUUUGUAUGUACCAUAUGAAUAAGGAUCGGCUAACUCCGUGCCAGCAGCCGCGGUAAUACGGAGGAUCCGAGCGUUAUCCGGAUUUAUUGGGGUUAAAGGGGGCGUAGGUGGAUUGUUAAGUCAGUUGUGAAAGUUUGGGGCUCAACCGUAAAAUUGCAGUUGAAACUGGAAGUCUUGAGUACAGUAGAGGUGGGCGGAAUUCGUGGUGUAGCGGUGAAAUGCUUAGAUAUCACGAAGAACUCCGAUUGCGAAGGCAGCUCACUGGCCUGCAACUGACACUGAGGCUCGAAAGUGUGGGUAUCAAACAGGAUUAGAUACCCGUGUAGUC